GAUGAACGCUAGCGGCAGGCCUAACACAUGCAAGUCGAGGGGUAUAGUUCUUCGGAACUAGAGACCGGCGCACGGGUGCGUAACGCGUAUGCAAUCUACCUUUUACAGGGGAAUAGCCCAGAGAAAUUUGGAUUAAUGCCCCAUAGUGUUAUAGAAUCGCAUGGUUUUAUAACUAAAGUUCCAACGGUAAAAGAUGAGCAUGCGUCCCAUUAGUUAGUUGGUAAGGUAACGGCUUACCAAGACAAUGAUGGGUAGGGGUCCUGAGAGGGAGAUCCCCCACCACUGGUACGUGAGACACGGACCAGACUCCUACGGGAGGGCAGCAGUGAGGAAUAUUGGACGAAUGGGCGGCAAGCCUGAUCCAGCCAUGCCGCGUGCAGGAAGACGGUCCUAUGGA
This 397-nucleotide ribosomal RNA is filed under the name uncultured bacterium. Its description in RNAcentral is "bacterial SSU rRNA". It matches the Rfam family "Bacterial small subunit ribosomal RNA", at positions 28 to 422 of the family's 1533-position model. The record is from RNAcentral.